GAUGAACGCUGGCGGCGUGCUUAACACAUGCAAGUCGAACGGAAAGGCUCCUGCUUUCAGGGGUACUCGAGUGGCGAACGGGUGAGUAACACGUUGGUGAUCUGCCCUGCACUUCGGGAUAAGCCUGGGAAACUGGGUCUAAUACCGGAUAGGUCGAUGGUUUGGAUGCCAUUGUGGAAAGUUUUUCGGUGUGGGAUGAGCUCGCGGCCUAUCAGCUUGUUGGUGGGGUAAUGGCCUACCAAGGCGUCGACGGGUAGCCGGCCUGAGAGGGUGUACGGCCACAUUGGGACUGAGAUACGGCCCAGACUCCUACGGGAGGCAGCAGUGGGGAAUAUUGCACAAUGGGCGCAAGCCUGAUGCAGCGACGCCGCGUGGGGGAUGACGGCCUUCGGGUUGUAAACUCCUUUCGCUAGGGACGAAGCGCAAGUGACGGUACCUGGAGAAGAAGCACCGGCUAACUACGUG
Molecule: ribosomal RNA, 465 nt
Filed under: uncultured bacterium
Lineage: Bacteria
Description: partial 16S ribosomal RNA
Rfam family: Bacterial small subunit ribosomal RNA
Source: RNAcentral